RNAcentral lists this transfer RNA (72 nucleotides) under Boulengerula taitana (Taita Mountains caecilian). Its description in RNAcentral is "tRNA-Leu". It matches the Rfam family "tRNA". Rfam says of the family: Transfer RNA (tRNA) molecules are approximately 80 nucleotides in length. Lineage: Eukaryota; Metazoa; Chordata; Amphibia; Gymnophiona; Herpelidae. The record is from RNAcentral.
ACUUUUAAACGAUAAUAUUCUAUCCAUUGGUCUUAGAAGCCAACAUUCUUGGUGUAAAUCCAUGUAAAAGUA